UCUAGCCUGCCAGUGACUAAGUUCAACGGCCGCGGUAUCCUAACCGUGCGAAGGUAGCGUAAUCACUUGUUCUUUAAAUGAGGACUAGUAUGAAUGGCACCACGAGGGUUAUACUGUCUCCUUUUUCUAAUCAAUGAAACUGAUCUCCCCGUGAAGAAGCGGGGAUAAACCUAUAAGACGAGAAGACCCUAUGGAGCUUUAAACAAAAAUAGCAUCGGCCCUUACUUACACUCUCGAGAGACAUAACCACUAUACUGGCCAAUAUGACUAUUAGUUUUAGGUUGGGGUGACCGCGGAGCAAAAACUAACCUCCACAUUGAACGGAACUUUUCCUGAGCUAAAAGCUACAACUUUAAGCACCAACAAAUUGACAUCAAUUGACCCAACAUGUUGAUCAACGAACCAAGUUACCCUAGGGAUAACAGCGCAAUCCAUUUCGAGAGCCCCUAUCGACAAAUGGGUUUACGACCUCGAUGUUGGAUCAGGGUAUCCCAGUGGUGCAGCCGCUACUAAAGGUUCGUUUGUUCAACGAUUAAAACCCUACGUGAUCUGA
Molecule: ribosomal RNA, 553 nt
Filed under: Dendropsophus sp. A RB-2011
Lineage: Eukaryota; Metazoa; Chordata; Amphibia; Anura; Hylidae
Description: partial 16S ribosomal RNA
Rfam family: Bacterial large subunit ribosomal RNA
Source: RNAcentral